AACGUACGCUGGCGGCACGCCUAACACAUGCAAGUCGAACGAAGUAGCAAUACUUAGUGGCAGACGGGUGAGUAACAUGUGGGUAUCUGCCCUUUGGCCUGGAAUAACACGAGGAAACUUGUGCUAAUACCGGAUAAGUCUUUACGGAGAAAGCUUUAUGCACCAUUGGAUGAGCCCGCACUUGAUUAGUUUGUUGGUGGGGUAAUGGCCUACCAAGACUGUGAUCAAUAGCUGAUUUGAGAGGAUGAUCAGCCACAUUGGGACUGAGACACGGCCCAAACUCCUACGGGAGGCAGCAGUGGGGAAUCUUGCACAAUGGAGGAAACUCUGAUGCAGCGAUGCCGCGUGAGUGAAGAAGGCCCUUGGGUUGUAAAGCUCUUUCGUCGGGGAAGAAAAUGACUGUACCCGAAUAAGAAGGUCCGGCUAACUUCGUGCCAGCAGCCGCGGUAAUACGAAGGGACCUAGCGUAGUUCGGAAUUACUGGGCUUAAAGAGUUCGUAGGUGGUUGAAAUAGUUGGUGGUGAAAUCCCAGAGCUUAACUCUGGAACUGCCAUCAAAACUUUUCAGCUAGAGUAUGAUAGAGGAAAGCAGAAUUUCUAGUGUAGAGGUGAAAUUCGUAGAUAUUAGAAAGAAUACCAAUUGCGAAGGCAGCUUUCUGGAUCAUUACUGACACUGAGGAACGAAAGCAUGGGUAGCGAAGAGGAUUAGAUACCCUCGUAGUCCAUGCCGUAAACGAUGUGUGUUAGACGUUGGAAAUUUAUUUUCAGUGUCGCAGCGAAAGCGAUAAACACACCGCCUGGGGAGUACGACCGCAAGGUUAAAACUCAAAUGAAUUGACGGGGACCCGCACAAGUAGUGGAGCAUGUGGUUUAAUUCGAAGAUACGCGCAGAACCUUACCAACACUUGACAUGUUCGUCGCGA
Molecule: ribosomal RNA, 922 nt
Filed under: uncultured bacterium
Lineage: Bacteria
Description: bacterial SSU rRNA
Rfam family: Bacterial small subunit ribosomal RNA
Source: RNAcentral